UACGUAGGGUGCGAGCGUUGUCCGGAUUUAUUGGGCGUAAAGAGCUCGUAGGCGGUGUGUCACGUCGGCCGUGAAAACCUGCAGCUUAACUGUGGGCGUGCGGUCGAUACGGGCAUCACUGGAGUUCGGCAGGGGAGACUGGAAUUCCUGGUGUAGCGGUGAAAUGCGCAGAUAUCAGGAGGAACACCGGUGGCGAAGGCGGGUCUCUGGGCCGAUACUGACGCUAAGGAGCGAAAGCGUGGGGAGCAAACAGG
This 254-nucleotide ribosomal RNA is filed under the name uncultured bacterium. RNAcentral describes it as "partial 16S ribosomal RNA". It matches the Rfam family "Bacterial small subunit ribosomal RNA", at positions 524 to 776 of the family's 1533-position model. The record is from RNAcentral.